This is an RNA transcript of Musca domestica (house fly), 9380 nucleotides long. It is a transcript of the gene named protein bicaudal D, with no coding region annotated. Lineage: Eukaryota; Metazoa; Arthropoda; Insecta; Diptera; Muscidae. The record is from RefSeq and is a predicted model, not a curated record. The transcript is spliced from 7 exons.
UAUCCCUAGUGUUGUGUGCCUGCCGUACGAAGUUGAGUUGGGAUGUUGGCUCUUUCGUUGGCCCAAAAAAUAAAGAAUUCAACGAAACUAAUUGCAAAAAACGGACAAAUUGAGAAAAAGAACUAAACAGAAACAAUUUUUUCAAAUAAUUUGCAAUUAUUUGUCACAUUAAGUUCAAUAAGAUUAUAGAAAACUAAAAAAGGAAAUUUUUUCGGUAAAGGCACGUCGUCGCUGACAAGUAAAAAUUCCAUAAAUUGUUUUUGUGCAAAAAGAAAGUGUCGAAAGAUAUAUGGAAAAAAAUCAGUGUAGUGUGAAAAGAAGCAAUUGAUGGUAGAAGUGAAAUCGUGAUGUCACAACUUUAGACUCGCUUAGACCAAAAACAGCCAAACUAAUUCUAAUUAAAUAGAAGAGGCUCUGCUUGGUGGUCGGGUUUCUUUUAAUACGAUUUUUUUUAUUUCUUUCAAGUUGGAAAAUUUGUUGGAGGAAUUCCCAAAGAGAAGUUGUGAAAAAAUAAUCCAAUUGCCAAAGAACAAAGAAUAACGUUAACAAACAAAACCAAAAGAAAAAGCCCGUGUGAGAGAGAGAGCGAACAAGAGAGUGUUUUUUUUUGAGAGACUCAUUGCAUGCAACUCUUUGACGUACGUUUCUCACUCUGCCGUAAAACAAACAAAAAAAGCAAAUCCCGAACCAGAAUUAAUGAAAAUACGUCCACAAAUUGAUAUAAAAAAGAAAAUUGCCCAAACGACAAGUCUUAAUUAAUAGUUUAUGAAGCAAAAAGACACAAAAUAAUAAACCCUCCAGUUAUAACAACAACGAUUUUAAACAACAACAACAAUUACGGCCAAUACGCAUAAUAAGCCAAACAACCGUCACACAAACACUCUAUUGACAAACUAGAAAAAUACAGCAACAACAAAUUACUACACCAUUUAAUUACAUACAGUACAUCACGAUUCCGCCCACAACAAGAAAAGAGUUGCCACUUCUUUAAAAAAAAGUGAAACAAAACAAAAAAACGAAACGAAAUUUUAUUUAUCAACAAAUAAAAAUUAUAUCUCAAAAAACGUCCAAAGACUUCCUAUUUCCCCCUGAUUUUAAUUUAUAUCCGUGCCCGUCCAUUAAAUACCAACACACCACACAACAACACACACACACACACCGACUCUCACACACACAGAGAAACAGAGAAAAACCAACGUGUACUCACGUCCAUUAUCCUUGCACAAGACAUUGUUGCGAGUCGAGCACAAACAAGUCCUUCGCCAGGAGUGAGUGUAGCUGUGGAAACGCCGUGAGAACACUAAGAUUUGCUGUCACAACGACUAACGGUAUCUGUUGUAAUCAUAUUUAGUCGUUUACAACAUGUCUCUGGAUUCAGGUGCUGGUGGCGGCGGUGGCGGCACAUCGUCCAAGACUGUCGAUGAGCUUCGCAUGGAAGUCGAGCGUUUAACGCGUGAACUCGAUCAAGCCACAAGUGAACGAGCUCAAUCGGCCCAGUAUGGCCUUUCGCUGUUGGAAGAGAAAUCGGCUCUGGAACAACGGGUCGAGGAGUUGGAAACCUUGUACGACAAUGCCAAACAUGAAUUGGAUAUAACACAUGAAGCUCUUACCAAAUAUCAGACCUCGCAAAAAGUCACAACUAAAACUGGCAUUGAGCAGGAGGAGACACUGCUCAAUGAGUCGGCCGCAAGGGAGACAUCAUUAAAUUUACAAAUUUUAGAAUUAGAAAAUGAGGUGAAACAAUUGCGUCAUGAAUUGGAACGUGUGCGCAAUGAACGUGAUCGCAUGUUGCAGGAGAACUCCGAUAUCGGGCGCGACAAGUCCGAUAACGAGGCGGAGAAGUUGCGUCUUAAAGCUGAGCUUAAGGAACUUAAAUUCCGUGAAACAAGAAUGCUUACGGAAUAUUCGGAGUUGGAGGAGGAGAACAUUACGCUGCAAAAGCAGGUCUCAAGUUUACGAAGUUCACAGGUUGAAUUUGAAGGUGCCAAACAUGAAAUACGUCGUCUGACCGAAGAAUUGGAAUUACUAAAUCAACAAGUUGAUGAACUGGCGAAUUUAAAGAAGAUCGCCGAAAAGCAAAUGGAAGAAGCCUUAGAAACACUGCAGGGUGAACGCGAAGCCAAAUACGCUCUCAAAAAGGAACUAGACAGCCAUUUGAAUCGCGAAUCCAUGUAUCACAUAAGCAAUCUGGCCUACAACAUCAGAGGUACCAUCUGCGAUGACAACACCAGUGCCAACAGUGACGGAGAAGAUGACAAUCUGGCCUUGAAACGAUUCGAAGCCAAUUUGUCAACGGAGCUCAAAUCACCGGAUGGCACGAAAUGUGAUCUCUUCUCUGAAAUUCAUUUGAAUGAAUUGAAGAAACUCGAAAAACAACUCGAAGCCAUGGAGAAUGAAAAGACCCAUUUGACGGCCAAUUUACGUGAGGCCCAAACGAGCCUGGAUAAAUCACAAAAUGAACUGCAAAACUUCAUGGCACGUCUGGCCAUUUUGGCAGCUCACGUGGAUGCACUGAUGCAACUGAAAAAGCAAUACGACAACAAGGAAGAUUCACAAGAGGCUAUUAAACAACAACAAAAUGAGGAAAACCUCAAACAGCAACUACGUGAUACUCUGUCCAAAUACAGUAAUUGGUUUACUUUGUCCGCCAAGGAAAUCGAUGGUCUCAAGACUGAUUUGAAUGAACUGCAGAAGGGUUUGAACUACACCGAUGCCAUGACAUCGCUGCGUAACGAAAUAACCAAUCUGAAAAAUAAACUCAUGUCGACAGAACAGAAAUCUCUCGACUUGCAAAGUGAUGUCCAGACAUUGACAAAUAUUUCACAAAAUGCCGGCCAAAGUUUGGGCUCAGCUCGUUCGACACUGGUGGCAUUGAGUGAUGAUUUGGCCCAGCUGUAUCAUCUGGUGUGCACGGUGAAUGGUGAAAUGCCCACAAGAGUAUUAUUGGACCACAAGAGUGACGAUAUGAGCUUUGAAAAUGAUUCACUGACCGCCAUACAGUCACAAUUCAAAUCAGAUGUACUCAUAUCGAAACCACAAAUUAUCGAAGACCUGCAGGGAUUGGCUGAUUCAGUGGAAAUCAAGAAAUAUGUUGAUACUGUAUCGGAUCAAAUUAAAUAUCUGAAGACCGCAGUUGAACAUACCAUUGAGCUUAAUAAGAAUAAAGUUCGCGGUGAUGUUUCCGAUGGUGAUAAAUACAAUCGCGAAGAAGUCGAAGAACUACAAGAACAGAUCAUCAAACUCAAGAGUUUGUUGUCUACGAAACGUGAGCAAAUCGCCACCCUGCGUACUGUGCUCAAAUCCAACAAGCAGACUGCUGAAGUUGCUCUCGCCAACCUCAAAUCCAAAUAUGAAAAUGAGAAGAUGGUCGUAAGCGAGACAAUGUCCAAACUGAGAAAUGAAUUGAAAAUUCUCAAAGAGGAUGCGGCAACAUUCUCAAGUUUGCGUGCAAUGUUUGCUGCCCGUUGUGAAGAAUAUGUCACACAAGUUGACGAUCUUAAUCGUCAAUUGGAAGCUGCCGAAGAAGAGAAGAAAACUCUUAAUCAACUCCUGCGUUUGGCCGUUCAGCAAAAAUUGAAUUUAACUCAAAAGUUGGAAGAAAUCGAAAUGGAUCGGUGGGUUCAUUUGGGUCGUUAAUAGUUUUAAAGAAGAAAAAACAAACUUAUCGAUCGAUUUUUCUUCAACAAAGUUUUUUGGUUCAUAAAUCCCACGUUUUUGUAUUUGUUUUAAAAAGUUCCUUCACAUAACGUAGCAUUGAGUUGAAAUGUUUCUAGUCUCUUUCUUUUUUGGUUAUUUUAUUAUUGACAUCACAUCAUUAGUCAAGAGUUUUCUACUUGAACGACCACCCACCCACCAUUGCAUUCAUUACUGUUAUUUAUCUCAAGUUUCCGCCCCCUCACUAUCCAAUGAUUUCUCCACAUCUUUUUGGUGUUUGUUGUGUGUGUGUGUGGUCAUUAUUACAUUCAAUUUUUUUUUUCUCAAAAGAGUUAUAUUUGCGUAACGUGUGUUUUCUGUUUUAUUACCAUGCAGUGGUUUUAUUUUAUCAUUGAGAAAUGCGUCACGCUCGCCGUCCCAUGCCACCACAGCGCGGUACUGGCGGCAGAUCAUCCUUUUCAUCACGGCCCUCGACAAGAAAUCCGGCAAAUAACAAUCCUAAUAACUUCUAACAUAAAAUCAGCGUGCAGCGUAAACUUUUAGCUUUAGUUUAUACUCUACUUAAGUUAUAAAUCUAAUUUAAUACAACAACAACAACUACAACACCACUACUAAACUAACACAUGAGAAAUUAAUAUAAUUUGUUGUCGCUAUCUACGACUAUAAUUUUAAUUUCAAUUCCUAUGCAAUUGUUUAACCAUCUCCUUUUGUAUUCUAUUAUUUUUUCUUUUCAUUGGUAUUCUUCUUUUGUUUUGUUAAGUUUAUUAUGUAUUUUGUAUUGUAUUUUAUAUGAUAAUUUUUCCUUUGGUUGAUGGGUAUUAUUUUUGAAAGUUUAAUUUAAAAAAUAAAUUAACUUAGUUAGACAAAAGAAAAAAAAUUAUAAAAAUAAAUUACGCAAAAUUUCCCUAAUUCCAGCAACUGCCCACAUGAAAGUUGCAAUGGGGAGGAUUUUGCCGAAACCCCUAGAACAUGUAUUAUUUUUGAAAACACAAAAAGAAAUCAUGGAAAAUUUGAUCCUAUUUUUUUCUCCACAUUCUUAUAAAUGUAUCUUUUUUGUUGUAUUCAUAUUAACACAGCUACACACACACACCCACAAAAAGCUAAAACGAAACUAUUUUAUAAAUUUAUUACAACAACAACUGCAACUUUUUGUGUAAUUUAUAUAAUGUAUUAAUUAUUAUUAUACAAGAAAACAACAACUGGAAACAUUUAUUAUUGUUAUACAAAAAAAUAACAACAGCAACAGAUAUUUAUUUAAACCUGAUUUAAUCAAUUUCAAAUUUAUAGAAGAAAAACAAAUGUUUAUAAUUAAUACGGUUUGUUACUUACCACACACACGUCCAUUUAAUGCAAUUGAAACAAAGUAAAAAACAUGAAAAAGAAAAUUAUUAUAUUUAUAUAUUUACUAAAGAAAUUAAAUGCAAUCAAGUUUUCUUUAAGAACAACUUUCUGUAUUGAUUUUUUUUCUAGAAAAAAAAACAAACUUGCAAACACAACACACCCACUCGAGUUAUUAUUUGUUUUUGAAAUUAUUAAUGUUACUUCCAUUGGCCUUAGUUGACACUAUGCUUGGAUAUUUAUCCAGCCAGAAUGCUCUACAUAAAAAACAUUUUUUUUCGAGAAAAUAUAUCGACCUAUAAUCGAUAAUGUAAAAAGUUCUUGGGAACAAAACAUGCCAAAACUAAUGCAGAUUCGGAAAUAGGGCUUAUUAGUCCCGUAGGAGCUAAAAAGUUUUUGGAUAAACUCAUGGCGGGGCAUAAGAACUAGCAACAAUUAAAUUUUAAAUAAAUGUAGGUCUAGUUGUCGAAAAAUGUUUCAUGUCUCUGGAUUUUCGAGAUGGAAUAGCAUUUUGGCAUAAAUAUUCAUCUGUCGAAAACUAUUCCAGUUAAAUUUGAUUGAAUCCAUUUUCAUAUAUAUUUCUCAAUUUUAACUUUAUAUAAAAGUAAAACUAUUAACCAUCCAAUAGGAUAGUUUAAUUUAUUGACAAAAAAUAAUUGGCUUCAUUCCAGAGAGUGGGUCACACUUCUAUCAAUGAAUCCGUUUUUGAUACUUGAUAUUUUCAAACCCCAUUGGAUUGGAUUCAAAUAAUUCCAAACAAUUUAAAGGCUAAGAUUAUAUUUCAUGGUUAAUAUUUAUACGACUUCCUGUACUUCUUUAGCCCUUCUAUAUCCAGACUAUAAACAACAAUCUUUCAAAGAAUUGGUCUAACGAAUGUUUUCACUAAUAGACUUGUAAUAAUGAGAUUCGCUAACCAAAGCAAGGGCUGACCUUCACCUCUUCAUGUAGAUGAUCCACUAGUGUCAUGAGGAGACAUCCUGCCGCAGUUCUCAUCACAGCAUUCUGGCAGGUCUGGAUGUUCUUCCACUGCGUAACACUUAUAUUCGCAGACCACACUGGGACCGCAUAGGUGACCACAGACCGGCCUAUCACGUUUUAAGAGGUCAACAUAGUCUCUUGUUAUGUAAACUUAAAUGCUGCUGACUAGAGCCUGGAGGAUCUUGUACCUUCUUUUCAUUCUCUCGCUCACGUCGCAUAUACCUUUGGCUUGCGCGGACGACUUGAACGUGCUUUCGAAUGUGACGCCGAGGAUCUUGGGGUAGUUUUUGGUCUAAAUAUAUUUUCCCCGACCUGCUCAUUCAGUUCAGUCCACAUCUCCGCAGACCAUGUAGUAAAGAGUGUGGCCGUUGUGGAAGUAGGUGGGAAGCUCCGCGAGACAUAUAUCAUCAACACCGGGGACGGACGCCAUGAUCGUAUAAUCAUCCGCAUACCUUACGAAUACCUUACCGUCCGGAGGGCGAGGAUUUCCGGUAAAGGUUAAACAGUUCCGAAGAUAUUAUGAUAUUUCAUGGUUAAUAUUUAAACGACUUUCUGGACUUCUUUAGUCUUUCUAUAUCCAGACUAUAAACAACAAUCUUUCAAAGAAUGCGUCUAAGGACUGUUUUCACUAAUAGACUUUGUAGGAUUAUAGGAUUCACGCUAACCAAAGCAACUAACUGCAACACCGUAGUCGAGUUCACAAUCUGAAGUCUUAGAUCAUUUUCAUGAAAUUAAUAGAUGGACUGAGGAAAAAACAUUGUUUGUUUUCGGAAAAUUAAGUAGCACCUUAAUUUGUCCAUACUCAAUACGGCGAAUUGGUAUGCAUUCUGGCUGGGUAUCCCAUUGAAAGCGGUUACCUUUGUUAUCAUUGUUAUUAAUAAUUAUUAGCGAAAUCUUUUGGAAUUUCUUUAUACAAAUAUUUUUAAAUUAAAAUUUGGUUGGCUUUUUGAAAAAGUUGCGUUCAGUUUAAUAUUUUUUAUAACCAAAAACAAGAAAUUCCCCAAAAGAAACUACAAAACACGCUGUACGCAAAUUAAAAAUUAAACAAAAAACCGAAAUUAAAAACUAAAAAAGAAAUUAAAACUUUUUGGAAGUUAAAAUGAUAAGAAAAAAUAUGUAUGAUUUUAUAAAGGCAAAUAACAUUUUUUUGGUGUUUUUGAUAGACAAUUUUAGAAUGAAAAGAAAAUUUAAAGAAAACCCAACAAAAAAACGAGCAAUGUCAAAUAUAAUUUUGUGUUCAAAUAAUACAGAUUAACAAGGAGACAAAAAUAAUUGGUAUUAAAUUAAACAGUAGAUGAAUCAACAGCAAAAUAAACCAUUAUUAGAUAAUAUGUAGCUAAUAAAUACAAUUCCUAUACCCAAGGACAAUGUGGCUAUUGUCCUAUUGGUCCUUCCAAACUACUCACAAAUGUAGCGGAAAAUUACUAAGAUAUUCAACACUCAGUCAAAGAUCUAUAAUUAGCAGUAGCAUGAAAUAGAACUUUAAACAAUUAGAAUACAAAUUUUGGUUUGCCCACUCUAAAAGGAGAAUUGCAAAAAAUGAGACAAAAUUUCCACCACCAUCAAUAGAAUAUUUAUGUUUUCCUAUCAGAAAAAAAGACAUUACAAUUAAUAUCGAUUUCAAUUAAAGUCUAAAGUUUAAGAAUCAAAUAUUUUAUUUUUGUUAUAAAUUUUUAAUUUUUUUCUUGUGGAAUUAUUUUUUAAUAAUUACUGAAAAUACCACAAAUUCUUUUUUUCUCACUCAAUAUUUCUUUUUUAGAAUAUUUCAAACACUAAUGUGCUCUUAUUUUAAUUUUAUUUUUCUAAUUUAUAUUAAAAUUAAGUGAAUUUUUUAUGUUAGUUUUAGGCAUGUUAGCAAAAGAAAGAUUCAAUUAUAACAAGAUGCAACUAAUUUUUAAAUAAUUAAAUAAAAAGUGAAUAAAAAUCAAAUUAUAUUUAUAUAAACAAGGAAUAUAAACAAAAAACACACAAACCACAAUUUAUUUUUGUUUUAUUUUAUUUCUAUUAUUAUUUCCUUCUUAUUGAUAUUGAGAAAAAGUGUUUUGGAGGAGGAAAAGGGUGUAAAAUAUAUCUUGUCAUUAGGGGAAAAUGUUAUGUUUAGAGGGACAUCGAAAGCCACAAUAUAUAAUCGCUGCUCGAACAUGUAUUUCGGGCAGAACCCGAUUGAAAAGAGUCAGAUCGAACAAAGUAGUAUGAGCUGCUACAACAACAACCACAAUAUAUAAUCGCUGCUGGGUAUUGAUUUGAUUUGUAAAACCGUCGAAGAAGUGCAGCAUAUAAUGUGAACUUGUACCACAUUUCGAGCCCAAUACGAAUUGAGGCGGCUGCACCAUCCAUCAGUUGUGACAAAACUACUCUGGUUUGUCGCGGCAGUUCUCGUUCUUCAGCAGCAGCAAUGGGAGGAGGAUGUGAGUUUAAAGUUAAAAGAUGAAAACAGUAAAUGCAUGGAAAAAUCGGGUAUAUUUUACUCGUACUUUACUAGUAUCGUGUGGAGAGAUUUAUAUUUAGGCUUGGGUCCCAAUUCUGUCACAUUUUCAGGAUUUCAAAUAGAAAUGAAAAAUGUAACAAAUCACUUUCCAAGCUUUAAAGAUUUCGGAAAUACUUGGUAAUAUUGGGUGUAUUUUACUCGAUGUGGUAUCAUGUAAGGCGGCAGGACAGAUUUGUUACAUAUGGACAUAUCAGCUCAGAUCUCACUCCUUCACACUUUUCAAGGAUUUCGGACAGAAAUAAAGAACGAAAAGUCGAACAAAUCACUUUCCCAGUUUUAAGGAUUUAGAUCGUCGUCAGCUCCAGCUACAGACUUGAUAGUCACCAUAAAUUUAAUUAAAUUUUGACACUUUUCUCCUGAACUAGAAGAAAACCGGUCUUUUAAUUUUAAUCUGUUUUUAAUACUUGUUUAUUCUUUUAAAUAUUUAUUGAUGGUGGUGGAGAUUUUGUUUACUCUUUGCAACAAAUAUGAAAGAACACUACUAAAUUUAUUGAAAUAUCACAUAAUAGAGCAAUAGAAUUAAUAAAAAAAGCAUUAUUAACAAAGAUAUUGGAAUAUUUUUCUAAGACGCCUAAAAGUAUGCAAUAUAUUUCAACAGUAGCUAUAUCACAAAACAUUGAAUUAAACUUUAACCUCUUAGCAUUGAAUAGAAAAACAAAUUUGCAAAAGUUUAAAUGAAAACAUUAUUUGAAAAGAAUAGCGACCCAGUUUUAUGUUGAAAAUUUUAGAAGAAUUAAAUGUUAUUUGUUUGUUUUUAAUUUCAAUGCACUUAACAACAUAUUUUCAACACUUUUUAACUACCGAGCCAUUAACAAAUGAAUUUAUUGAUACAAAAAGAAAGGAAAAAACAAAUGAAUCAGACUCAUUCCAUACCAGAAAUCAUCGAAUUGUCCAAAUAAAUUACAAAAAAUACAAGAAAAAA